This 64-nucleotide transfer RNA is filed under the name Pyrhila pisum. RNAcentral's name for it is "tRNA-Thr". It matches the Rfam family "tRNA". Rfam says of the family: Transfer RNA (tRNA) molecules are approximately 80 nucleotides in length. Their secondary structure includes four short double-helical elements and three loops (D, anti-codon, and T loops). The record is from RNAcentral. Lineage: Eukaryota; Metazoa; Arthropoda; Malacostraca; Decapoda; Leucosiidae.
AGUUUAAAUAGUUUAAAUAAAACUUUGGUCUUGUAAACCAAAAAUGAAAAAAAUUUCUUUAAAC